Molecule: unclassified non-coding RNA, 336 nt
Filed under: soil metagenome
Description: partial contains 5.8S ribosomal RNA, internal transcribed spacer 2, and large subunit ribosomal RNA
Rfam family: 5.8S ribosomal RNA (bases 1-120)
Source: RNAcentral
GAUGAAGAACGCAGCGAAAUGCGAUACGUAAUGUGAAUUGCAGAUUUCAGUGAAUCAUCGAAUCUUUGAACGCACAUUGCGCCCGCCAGUAUUCUGGCGGGCAUGCCUGUUCGAGCGUCAUUUCAACCAUCAAGCCCCCGGCUUGUGUUGGGGACCUGCGGCUGCCGCAGGCCCUGAAAAGCAGUGGCGGGCUCGCUGUCACACCGAGCGUAGUAGAUUUCAUCUCGCUCAGGGCGUGCUGCGGGUUCCGGCCGUUAAACCACCUUCAUAACCCAAGGUUGACCUCGGAUCAGGUAGGAAGACCCGCUGAACUUAAGCAUAUCAAUAAGCGGAGGA